This 253-nucleotide ribosomal RNA is filed under the name uncultured bacterium. RNAcentral describes it as "partial 16S ribosomal RNA". It matches the Rfam family "Bacterial small subunit ribosomal RNA", at positions 524 to 776 of the family's 1533-position model. The record is from RNAcentral.
UACGAAGGGGGCUAGCGUUGCUCGGAAUCACUGGGCGUAAAGCGCACGUAGGCGGCGGCGUAAGCGGGAUGUGAAAGCCCAGGGCUCAACCCUGGAAGUGCAUCCCGAACUGUGUCGCUUGAAUCUCGGAGGGGGACAGAGAAUUCCCGGUGUAGAGGUGAAAUUCGUAGAUAUCGGGAGGAAUACCAGUGGCGAAGGCGCUGUCCUGGACGAAGAUUGACGCUGAGGUGCGAAAGCGUGGGGAGCAAACAGG